This 423-nucleotide ribosomal RNA is filed under the name uncultured bacterium. RNAcentral describes it as "bacterial SSU rRNA". It matches the Rfam family "Bacterial small subunit ribosomal RNA", at positions 207 to 622 of the family's 1533-position model. The record is from RNAcentral.
AAGACCUUGCACUUUUGGAGCGGCCGAUGUCUGAUUAGCUAGUUGGUGGGGUAAUGGCCUACCAAAGCUUCGAUCAGUAGCUGGUCUGAGAGGACGGCCAGCCACACUGGGACUGAGACACGGCCCAGACUCCUACGGGAGGCAGCAGUGGGGAAUUUUGGACAAUGGGCGCAAGCCUGAUCCAGCCAUGCCGCGUGAGUGAAGAAGGCCUUCGGGUUGUAAAGCUCUUUCAGCCGGGAAGAAAAGGUUGCGACGAAUAAUCGCAAUCCAUGACGGUACCGAAAGAAGAAGCACCGGCUAACUACGUGCCAGCAGCCGCGGUAAUACGUAGGGUGCGAGCGUUAAUCGGAAUUACUGGGCGUAAAGGGUGCGCAGGCGGUUUUGUAAGUCAGAUGUGAAAUCCUCGGGCUUAACCUGGGAACU